This 205-nucleotide ribosomal RNA is filed under the name uncultured bacterium. Its description in RNAcentral is "partial 16S ribosomal RNA". It matches the Rfam family "Bacterial small subunit ribosomal RNA", at positions 1288 to 1500 of the family's 1533-position model. The record is from RNAcentral.
UCAGUUCGGACUGGAGUCUGCAACCCGACUCCACGAAGCUGGAUUCGCUAGUAAUCGCGCAUCAGCCACGGCGCGGUGAAUACGUUCCCGGGCCUUGUACACACCGCCCGUCAAGCCAUGGGAGCCGGGGGUACCUGAAGUGCGUAACCGCGAGGAGCGCCCUAGGGUAAAACUGGUGACUGGGGCUAAGUCGUAACAAGGUAUC